AGUUUGCCAUGAUGAAAUGCAUGGUAAGUCUGUGUUUCCGCUGAUUAUCCCGAUUAAACAUAUACUCUGAGAAGACA
Fukomys damarensis (Damara mole-rat) is the source of this 77-nucleotide small nucleolar RNA. Lineage: Eukaryota; Metazoa; Chordata; Mammalia; Rodentia; Bathyergidae. The record is from Ensembl.